AUCGCUGCUUAAGCCAGUUGGAUCUCACAGCAGUGAAAGGCUUUACUCUGUCUUUUGUCAGGGUGAAAGUACAUCGAAGUGGCAGCGUGCAGGGUGUGAGGUGAGGGACAGACCUAAGUGAGGCAAGAGGAGGAGCUGGGCUUUCUGUGACAUGAGGGGCUACGGGUCAUCACUGGGGGCUUCUGACUAAGGGCACUAAUUGGACAGUAGGAUGCUCAUAAAGAUGAAACAUCUUUAAGUUGUCAGGAAGAGCUGAUGGAUCUACAGCUCGAGCUCUGGACUAAGUGCACAUAUAUUGGAGAUUAGAAGAGGACAUUAACAUGAAAACCGGAAAGAAAUGUUUGAUUGAUAGCUCAGAAGGAAAUGCCAAGGUUUCCUUGAGGAUUGCCUUACGCUAUCCAUAUAUAUUAAUCAUAAAAUCUGAAACAUAUUGUUCCUGGUUUGUGAUGUAUUUUUAAGAAAUCUUUUUGUCAAGAUGCAAAUUACAGAAAUUAUGAUUGUGAUUAUUACGGUUAGUUUUAAUUAGCAAAUAUUACUUAAAUGAUAAAAUAAUGAAAAAAGACUUUUUCCUCUACAUAAGACCAUGUUAGUGGAAAGCAAGUAGAAAAGUUGAAGAAACUGGAG
Molecule: long non-coding RNA, 624 nt
Filed under: Anser brachyrhynchus (Pink-footed goose)
Lineage: Eukaryota; Metazoa; Chordata; Aves; Anseriformes; Anatidae
Description: lncRNA (ENSABRG00000006698.1)
Source: RNAcentral